AUUCCAGCUCCAAUAGCGUAUAUUAAAGUUGUUGCAGUUAAAAAGCUCGUAGUUGGAUUUCUGGUGUGAGUGGUCGGUUCGACCUUUUGGUGGAUACUUGACCAUCUCACACCAUCCUUGGGUCUAGCCUCGCUGGUAUUAAGUUACCGGCGUGUGCGAUACCCAUCGUUUACUGUGAACAAAAUAGAGUGCUCUAAGCAGGCUUAUGCCGUUGAAUAUAUUAGCAUGGAAUAAUAAGAUAGGACUUUGGUGCUAUUUUGUUGGUUUGCGCAUCUUUGUAAUGAUAAAAAGGGACAGUUGUGGGUAUUUGUAUUUUAGUGUAAGAGGUGAAAUUCUUAGAUUACUAAAAGACAAACGAAUGCGAAAGCAUUUACCAAGGAUGUUUUCAUCA
This 391-nucleotide ribosomal RNA is filed under the name Bacillariophyta sp. RNAcentral describes it as "partial small subunit ribosomal RNA". It matches the Rfam family "Eukaryotic small subunit ribosomal RNA", at positions 582 to 975 of the family's 1831-position model. The record is from RNAcentral. Lineage: Eukaryota; Bacillariophyta.